AUUGAACGCUGGCGGCAUGGCUAAAACAUGCAAGUCGAACGAUCCCUUCGGGGAGAGUGGCGAAAGGGCGAGGAAUAGAAUCGAAUGUACCCCAAGGUGGGGGAUAGCCUCUGGAAACGGAGGGUAAUACCCCAUGUGCUCUACGGAGGAAGGUUUACCGCCUUGGGAGCAGCGAUUCUCCUAUCAGGUAGUUGGUGAGGUAACGGCUCACCAAGCCGAAGACGGGUAGCGGGUGUGAGAGCAUGACCCGCCGCAUCGGGACUGAGACACUGCCCGGACUCCUACGGGAGGCUGCAGUAACGAAUCUUCCGCAAUGGGCGAAAGCCUGACGGAGCAAUGCCGCGUGUGGGAUGAAGCAUCUUCGAUGUGUAAACCACUGUCAGGGUCUAGGAAUACUGACCAGACCCAAAGGAAGGGACCGGCUAAUCCCGUG
RNAcentral lists this ribosomal RNA (433 nucleotides) under uncultured bacterium. RNAcentral describes it as "bacterial SSU rRNA". It matches the Rfam family "Bacterial small subunit ribosomal RNA", at positions 30 to 507 of the family's 1533-position model. The record is from RNAcentral.